GUCCCAAUUUGACCACUUUUGUUGAAGAGUCUAAGGAGCAAAAAGAUCCUGCAAAAUUCGUCACUUCAAACAUUUUCUUCCCAGAUUCAUUAUCAUUGGAAACAUUAAAGAUGUUGUAUAUGAAAAAUCAAGAUGUUGAGAAGCUUUGGCACAACAAUUAUCCUACCAAAUCAUUUUGUGAAAUGGAAUAUCUAACUUUGAGUAACAACAACAAAUUAUUGAAUGUCAUCUCUUCUAACAUGAUCAUAAGAUUUAACAAGUUGAAAAAAUUAACUUUGGAACAAUGUGAGGUAUUGACUGAGAUAUUUAACUUUGAAGAUGAUAAGCCAAAUGAUAAUAUCCAAGAACUUCUUCCUCAGUUACAGGAACUGGCAUUGAGUAACCUGAGAAGUUUCACAUGUGUUUGGAACAAGGAGCCUCAAGUUUCAUUUUUUCCAAAUUUAAUGUCACUUCACUUUGUUCAUUGUGGAGCCCUCCAAAGUCUAUUUUCAAUUUCUUCUACAAAAAAUCUUCAAAAUCUCAAAUCAUUGAAAUUGUGCAAUUGUGACAAAGUAAAGGAGGUAAUAUCUAUUGAUAAUCGAGAAGACAUGACAAUCAGUUUUCCAAAAAUGGAAUGUCUUGUACUCAAGGAUCUUCCAAAGUUUCUCAGUUUCUAUCAACAAAAGGGAACAAUUCAUUUACCUAACAUACAAAUUGUACAGGCAAGCAAUAUUCCAAGCAUGAAAACAUUUUCAGAAGGUAGAGUCAUCACCCCAUUGCUAAGAUCAAUACAUGUAACAUUUGUUAGGAAACUCUGGCUAGGAAAUUUAAACAAGACCUUAUCA
Molecule: small RNA, 824 nt
Filed under: Vigna angularis var. angularis
Lineage: Eukaryota; Viridiplantae; Streptophyta; Magnoliopsida; Fabales; Fabaceae
Description: Non-protein coding transcript
Source: RNAcentral